AAAAAAAAAAAAAAAUGAAGUAUUUUGAAAAUCAACCACGCAAACAAAUAAAUCAACAAAUGUCCAGAACUUCCACAUAACCAAAUGCCAAGAAUUCACACUGAACUAACCAUCUGCUUCCAACCAAUAUAAUAAACACAAGAACCUGACAGUCAAGAAUAAAAAAGCUUGAGAUUUUCUGCAGCUAGGAAGCCAGCUGGACUGAAGUAUAUGGGUACAACAACACUUUAAGACUUUUCAAGUUCUAGUUUAUUUACAUAGACCUGCUUUAGCAGCAAAGCAAAUACAUUAUAGCAGCAAUUUCAAUUCAUUUGGAUCUUUCAAUGAAAAAUGUCCUUCAAACUAGUGAAAGGCAAACAGAAGUGUGUUUACAGAAGAUAACAUCAUGGAAGGAGUUAUUGACGAUGCAAGUGAGGAAGCACAGAAAUUCAUGAAUAAAACAGAAACUAACCGUGUAAGUGAACCAAAAAAAAAUGUAAGCCUCCAAGUGCUACAACAAGCAAAACUACCUUAAAACAAGCAUUUCAUCUUGAAUU
This 536-nucleotide long non-coding RNA is filed under the name Citrus sinensis (sweet orange). Its description in RNAcentral is "long non-coding RNA (CSIN_LNC005810)". The record is from RNAcentral. Lineage: Eukaryota; Viridiplantae; Streptophyta; Magnoliopsida; Sapindales; Rutaceae.